Molecule: long non-coding RNA, 1891 nt
Organism: Nerophis lumbriciformis (worm pipefish)
Lineage: Eukaryota; Metazoa; Chordata; Actinopteri; Syngnathiformes; Syngnathidae
Source: RefSeq, a predicted model, not a curated record
AUGAUGGCCAGAACGUAUACAAUUGGAGACGACAGGAAGUGGUUGCCAAGUCUCCUGGGGUGGCAGAAUUUAAGGAAAGAUGGCCUGCCCUCUUCGAACCAUUCCUGGUAAAUGAUUUAUCAUUCUAUUUUUCCUGACCAAGUUUCCAUUGUGACUUGGACAUGACAUACUAGACUCACUUUUUGCCUGAAAAUGUAUACUAAAACCCUUAAUGUCAGUAACGGUCAACAUUUGCUGUCUUACAGAUUAAAGGGGAACAUUAUCACCAGACCUAUGUAAGCGUCAAUAUAUACCUUGAUGUUGCAGAAAAAAGACCAUAUAUUUUUUUUAACCGAUUUCCGAACUCUAAAUGGGUGAAUUUUGGCGAAUUAAACACCUUUCUAUUAUUCGCUCUCGGAGCGAUGACGUCACAACGGGAAGCAAUCCGCCAUUUUCUCAAACACCGAGUCAAAUCAGCUCUGUUAUUUUCCGUUUUUUUCGACUGUUAUCUGUACCUUGGAGACAUCAUGCCUCGUGGGUGUGUUGUCGGAGGGUGUAACAACACGAACAGGGACGGAUUCAAGUUGCACCAGUGGCCCAAAGAUGCGAAAGUGGCAAGAAAUUAGACGUUUGUUCCGCACACUUUACCAACGAAAGCUAUGCUACGACAGAGAUGGCAAGAAUGUGUGGAUAUCCUGCGACACUCAAAGCAGAUGCAUUUCCAACGAUAAAGUCAAAGAAAUCUGCCGCCAGACACCCAUUGAAUCUGCCGGAGUGUGUGAGCAAUUCAGGGACAAAGGACCUCGGUAGCACGGCAAGCAAUGGCGGCAGUUUGUUCCCGCAGACGAGCGAGCUAAACCCCCUGGAUGUCUUGGCUCACUGAUACAGGACCCAAGUGCCUCUGCAGUGAUGAAGAUUUUGGGAGAGAGUGGACAGGAGCUAAUCUCUGACUACUGUGGAAGUGCAGAGACCACUGUUCAUGAGGACCUGGAAAUGAAGAAUAUGAGCAUCUACAUCUGUCGUGAGCCAAAUGCAGUAGGAAUCAUCAUUGAGGGAAUACCAGUCCUUACUCAUCUUGGAAACCUGGCCAAAGCCUGCUGCUUACCUCUGGGGUUGACGUAUGCACUUAAUCUUGAGUAUCCAUCCAAACUUUCCAAAACAUUUGAGGUGUUUCAAAGACUUUUUGUGGGACUCGACACACUGCGCCCAAAACCAACCCCCAAAUUCAUGACUCUCAAAAACAAGCUUCUAGCUUAGGCAGUGAGCCAUGACUGUCAGCUUGCACUUUUGAACAGCUAUUUUCUUGUCUGUUCAAAAUCAUUAUACAUUGUUCAUUGAGUGGAAUUCUUCAGAAUGUUGUAACGGUUUGUCCUCUUCAGGUUUUAUACAAAGCUCCAGGUCAUCGUUUCUGGUGUGUAAAUGAAGUUGUUUUAUGUUUUAUACACACUAAAUUGCCCCACUGUGAAGCUCCAGCUGGUCAGAAAGAGGGAUCUGUGAGUUGUUUAAGUUCAAAUGUUUCAAAAUAUACACACUGAAAGACACUAUGGUGAAGGUGUUCUGCUUGUGAAUUGUUACAGAAGUACAGAUAAUCUUAAUGUUAAAUUGUUUUAGCAAGAAACUAUACUGUGAAUGUUCUAAGUACAACUUGAGAUGCUGAGGUCAUGCAUUCUUUUAUGCACUAAAUACUGAUGUUCUUGACUGUUAAUACUGUCCAGCUUAUUGACACGGUUUGGAUAUGGCUUGUGAAAACGUUUGAAUAAUAUGUAUACGGUUAAAAAAAGAAAACUACUGUGACGGUGUUCUAUACAGCACUUUAAAAAGUUGAGGUCAUGCAUUCUAUGCACUAAAUAUGGAUGUUGACUGUUCAUACUGUCCAGCUCAUUGCCACUGUUUUUAUAUGGUAAUGAUUUAA